CUUUACUGAGAGGGUGGUGAGGAACUGGCACAGUCCGCCCAGAAAGGCUGUAGGUGCCCCAUCCCUGGAGAUGUUGAAGGCUGGCAGGGUUCAAUGGGGCCCAGCACAGCCUUAUCUGGUAGGUGACAGCCCUGCCCAUGGUAGAGGGUUGGAACUGGAUGAUCUUUACUGUUGCCUCCAACCUCAGCCAUUCUAUGAUUCUAAGUAUAUUUCUUAUUCCUAACAAGUUAAAGGAAAAGUAGUCCUAACAGUAUAAUAAUUUGAAGAAGAAAUGCACCAUAAGUGACCAACAUACUUGAUUGCUGAAACAUUAAGGAAAAGGAAGACCCUUUCUAAUGUAUGGAUGUAGUCUGAACAUUGUAAAAUGUCAUUGGCUCCACUAGAAAGCUUAUUGGAUGUGAAAAGAAAUCUGGAACUAGAAGCACCCAACAGGAAAUCCAGGAUUUUCAAUGUAAGUUAGUCAUCUGUAUUUUUUUAUUACAAUUUUCCUGUUGCAACAUUAAGAGCCUUCAUCCUAAGCCUAUAAGACUCUUCAG
This 536-nucleotide long non-coding RNA is filed under the name Gallus gallus (chicken). The record is from RNAcentral. Lineage: Eukaryota; Metazoa; Chordata; Aves; Galliformes; Phasianidae.